AGUCACUGACAUUAGAUACCCCGGUAGUCCCAGCCGUAAACUAUGCGCGUUAGGUGUAUCGGUGACCACGAGUUACCGAGGUGCCGAAGGGAAACCGUGAAACGUGCCGCCUGGGAAGUACGGUCGCAAGGCUGAAACUUAAAGGAAUUGGCGGGGAGCACCACAACAGGUGGAGCCUGCGGUUUAAUUGGAUUCAACGCCGGACAUCUCACCGGAUAAGACAGCUGAAUGAUUGUCAAUCUGAAGGUUUUACAUGACUAGCUG
Molecule: ribosomal RNA, 264 nt
Filed under: uncultured archaeon
Lineage: Archaea
Description: partial 16S ribosomal RNA
Rfam family: Archaeal small subunit ribosomal RNA
Source: RNAcentral